UCACAUCUAAGGUUUACGGUACAUUUC
This 27-nucleotide non-coding RNA is filed under the name Rattus norvegicus (Norway rat). Lineage: Eukaryota; Metazoa; Chordata; Mammalia; Rodentia; Muridae. The record is from RNAcentral.